RNAcentral lists this ribosomal RNA (786 nucleotides) under uncultured bacterium. Its description in RNAcentral is "bacterial SSU rRNA". It matches the Rfam family "Bacterial small subunit ribosomal RNA", at positions 74 to 849 of the family's 1533-position model. The record is from RNAcentral.
GUCUCUUCGGGGUUGAUUAAACCGGCGCACGGGUGAGUAACACGUGAGUGACCUGCCUUUUAGACUGGAACAACUUACCGAAAGGUGAGCUAAUGCCGGAUGAGUUAUAUAAGUGCAUGUUUAUAUAGGAAAAGUUGGGGAGACCUGACGCUGAAAGAUGGACUCGCGUCCCAUUAGCUAGUUGGUAGGGUAAUGGCCUACCAAGGCGACGAUGGGUAGCCGGCCUGAGAGGGUGGCCGGCCACACUGGGACUGAGACACGGCCCAGACUCCUACGGGAGGCAGCAGUGGGGAAUUUUGCGCAAUGCUCGUAAGAGUGACGCAGCGACGCCGCGUGAAUGACGAAGGCCUUCGGGUCGUAAAGUUCUUUCGACAGGGAAGAAAAUGCCUAUAAGUAACUGUGUAUGUAUUGACGGUACCUGUAUAAGCAGCCCCGGCUAACUCCGUGCCAGCAGCCGCGGUAAUACGGAGGGGGCGAGCGUUGUUCGGAGUGACUGGGCGUAAAGAGCACGUAGGCGGUGUUGUAAGUCAUUAGUCAAAGACUAGAGCUCAACUUUAGUAAGGCUAGUGAUACUAUAAUACUAGAGUAUCAGAGAGGAUUGCAGAAUUCCUGGUGUAGCGGUGAAAUGCGUAGAUAUCAGGAGGAAUACCGUUAGCGAAGGCGGCAAUCUGGCUGGAAACUGACGCUGAGGUGCGAAAGCGUGGGUAGCAAACAGGAUUAGAUACCCUGGUAGUCCACGCUGUNAACGAUGGAUGCUAGGUGUUGGGCUUUNAAGUUCAGUGCCGC